GACGAACGCUGGCGGCGUGCCUAAUACAUGCAAGUCGAACGCAUUUUCUUUCACCGUAGCUUGCUACACCGAAAGAAAAUGAGUGGCGAACGGGUGAGUAACACGUGGGUAACCUGCCCAUCAGCGGGGGAUAACACUUGGAAACAGGUGCUAAUACCGCAUAAUUCCAUUUACCGCAUGGUAGAUGGGUGAAAGGCGCUUUUGCGUCACUGAUGGAUGGACCCGCGGUGCAUUAGCUAGUUGGUGGGGUAACGGCCUACCAAGGCUGCGAUGCAUAGCCGACCUGAGAGGGUGAUCGGCCACACUGGGACUGAGACACGGCCCAGACUCCUACGGGAGGCAGCAGUAGGGAAUCUUCGGCAAUGGACGCAAGUCUGACCGAGCAACGCCGCGUGAGGGAAGAAGGGUUUCGGAUCGUAAAACUCUGUUGUUAGAGAAGAACAAGGAUGAGAGUGGAAAGUUCAUCCCUUGACGGUAUCUAACCAGAAAGCCACGGCUAACUACGUG
This 507-nucleotide ribosomal RNA is filed under the name uncultured bacterium. RNAcentral's name for it is "partial 16S ribosomal RNA". It matches the Rfam family "Bacterial small subunit ribosomal RNA", at positions 28 to 507 of the family's 1533-position model. The record is from RNAcentral.